This is an RNA transcript of Phasianus colchicus (ring-necked pheasant), 1773 nucleotides long. It is a transcript of the gene named intraflagellar transport 38, with no coding region annotated. The record is from RefSeq and is a predicted model, not a curated record. NCBI's taxonomy places the organism in Eukaryota, Metazoa, Chordata, Aves, Galliformes, Phasianidae.
CUCCGCCGCACCGUAGCGCGUUGCCAUAGCGACGCACGGCGCGGCCUGGCGCGAUGUCGUACCGCGAUGUGCGGAACCUGACCGAGAUGCUGCGGGCGCUGGGCUAUCCCCGCCUCGUCUCCAUGGAGAACUUCCACGGGCCGAACUUCGCGCUGGUGGCCGAGCUGCUGCUGUGGCUGGUGAGGAGGUAUGAACCUCAGUCUGACAUUCCCCCUGAUGUUGAGACAGAACAGGACCGGGUUUUCUUCAUUAAGGCUGUAGCUCAGUUCAUGGCUACCAAGGCCCACAUAAAGCUCAACACCAAGAAGCUUUACCAGGCAGAUGGCUAUGCAGUGAGAGAGCUGCUGAAGGUCACCUCUGUGCUUUACAGUGCAAUGAAUACGGAGGGAAUGGAGCGCACAGACAUCACUGAAGAAGACAGCAGCAAAUUCAAAUUUGAUCUUGGCUCAAAAAUUGCUGACUUGAAGGCGGCUAGACAGCUUGCUUCUGAAAUCACCUCCAAAGGAGCAAGUCUGUAUGACUUACUUGGCAAAGAGGUAGAGCUAAGGGAAGCAAGAACAGAAUCUAUUGCCAGACCUUUGGAGAUAAACGAAGCUGAGAAGAUGAUGAAAGUUGCCAUUGACUGUGUUCUGGAAGAGGUCCAGAAGACUAAGGACAUGUUGAGUAAUGUGGCUUUGGACGAAGCCAAUUUGGAAGCCAAAAUUGAAAAAAGGAAAUUGGAGCUGGAAAGAAGCCAGAAGAGGCUGCAGACCCUACAGAGCGUUCGUCCUGCUUUUAUGGAUGAAUAUGAGAAGAUCGAAGAGCAACUGCAGAAGCAAUACACUAGCUACCUAGAAAAAUUCCAUAACCUAACCUACCUGGAGCAGCUCCUGGACGAUCAACAUCGGACUGAGCAGGAGAUGUUUGAGGAAGCAGCAAACAUGCUGCGUCUGAUGCAGAACAGGCUGAAGGAGGAGGAACAACGCCUGCUUAAGAGUGGAAAUAAUGAUGAUUCUGACGUGGAGAUUCAGGAGGAUGAAGGCUCUGACAGUGAAAUGGAGGACAGGCAGCUCGGGAAGCAGCACGUGGCCUUGGAGAUGCUAGUGCCAGGAAGAGCUGGUGCCCGGAUCGUGGGAACAAUGCAGGGUGGAGACACAGAGGAAGAUGGGAGAGCUGCCCCAGCCCAGCCAGGCAAGCAUGGGAUCAUCACCAAGGCUCAGGAGGAGUCGGGGGAUAGUGAGAUUGACCUGGAUGAUGACGAAGAUGAGGAGGAGGACGUGGAAGAUGACAGCAUGGAAAUCUCCCCGAGCAAAUCCAGCCACCGAGCAAAGAAGCCAGAGCCUCUGGAGGAAAGUGAUAAUGACUUCUGACCCUUCAGCAGCAGGACCAGGAGGCACCUUGAAAUGCAGACGUUGGAGAGCAUGUGGGCCAGGAACUAAUAGCACCCUGCCAUCUGAAAAGUGCUCGUCAGCAUGAGUUCAGGAGUUGGAGCAGAAAUCAGUGCUUGAUUAGAUGAGUUUGUUCCAGUGUGUGUUCAUCAGAGCAGACAAGAGCUCAGGCUGUUCUCCCGUCCUUCCUUUUUUUUCAUGCCAGCAAAGUACUUUGCUUUCCCUCCAUCUGAAGAGUGUAGUCCAGCCCCUCUUUUAUUGAACUGAAGGAAGGAAUGCACAGCAGUUACCUGAAAAACCAGGAACUCUUCCAUCUCUCACAUCUCUAACACCUAAAGUAGUUCCUCAUCAGCUGAGCUCAGAACUGGAAAUGCCCUGUCAGGAUGUGCCAAACCUUUACAGGUAA